UUGACCUUUAAGGGGUUCACUAUUUACCGAGUGUGAAAGAUGAGGUACUCUGAUUCUAGUAGGGGCUUGCUCUCCUAAUACUGGAUUCAUUGCAGCUCAGGUUCUGACCCUUUGAAAUGGAUGUCUGAGUGGAGUGGAGGGAAGAGCAUGUGAUUGAUAGCUAGGCACAAUCCUGGGAAUCGGCUUACUUGGGCUUAUUUCAUUUUGGUCUGAAUGCUUCAUAACUGCCCCUUGGGAUGUGUGGAUUCUCAUGAACUCUUCCAAGAACAUGAGCGCUUUUAUCAUCUCUGCCAUCUGUUCUCUUUUAGACAUCAGUAAUCAUGGACCCAUUCUUGGAGCAGAGAAUUGAGUAAAUUUCUCAAGUACAAGUUCACACUCAGUAUGUUUCUGCCAGUAUCAGCGUGGUUCAGUAGCUCUCAUGAAUUCCUUUCGACCAUGGUAUUCUCUAGAGAUGUCUCCAUGACGAUAAUCUUCAGCGUAGCAGAACAAUUCUCAUCAAUGUGUUCGCACGUCUCCUCAGUCCAUGCAGCCAGCUUUUUGCCAACUUCUCUUCGUGUCUCCCAUAAAGUCGACGUCAAAAAGAAUGGGCAAGUCUGAACGUACCUUGGAGCCUCAGCUUUAAGCUGAUGACAGUUCUUCGACUGUAUGCCCUUUCAGAUUCUGGAAACUGACCCGUGAACUCAGGUCUUUGGGCAGCAGCAGUAUCUCCAACUUACACAGAUUCCCGAACCAAAGACUUAAGCCAAUCUCCACAUAGGGCGGCAGCCCCUCCAUCACACUGAUCCACCCACAGAAUUCUGCCCAGUUACCUUGGACCCACCAGCCGCAACAAGCCUCAUGGUACACACCAACAUUCCACCUGGAAUCCAACCGGUUUUCUGAGUCCUCAUCCUUUCUUUGGAAUAACAGACCACUCUUAUGCAAGUGUCCUGCGCCAAGGUCUGGGGGUCUAGAACUGAAGCCACAACAUCUCCCAGGAAUCCUGUAUGUAAAGUUUUCUUCCCAACAAGCAACAUACCUUCCAGGCUGCAGUCCCCAGUUGUCACAGCUCGCUGCAUCGAAUCCUCAGAUCUGGUCUUCGAAACACCUGGCUGUAAGAUAGAUAUGAGAAGACAUUCAAGAAGUACUGAUCCACAGCAAUGUGCACAUACUUAACAUGAGACGAAUCAUACGCUUGGAAUCAGCUAAGAUGGGCCAUCUGCUUUCCGUGCGUUACAGCACAAUUAAACACUGACACAGUGAUGCUCGGU
Long non-coding RNA from Camelus dromedarius (Arabian camel), 1250 nucleotides. RefSeq lists it as uncharacterized. The transcript is spliced from 3 exons. The record is from RefSeq and is a predicted model, not a curated record. NCBI's taxonomy places the organism in Eukaryota, Metazoa, Chordata, Mammalia, Artiodactyla, Camelidae.